This 254-nucleotide ribosomal RNA is filed under the name uncultured bacterium. RNAcentral's name for it is "partial 16S ribosomal RNA". It matches the Rfam family "Bacterial small subunit ribosomal RNA", at positions 524 to 776 of the family's 1533-position model. The record is from RNAcentral.
UACAGAGGGUGCAAGCGUUAUCCGGAUUUAUUGGGCGUAAAGCGUUUCGUAGGCUGAUUUAAAAGUUACUCUUCAAAGACUACGGCUCAACCGGAGGAAGGGGAGUAAUACUGUGAGUCUUGAAAUAUGGUGGGGCUUCUGGAACUGAUGGUGUAGUAGUGAAAUACGUUGAUAUCAUCAGGAACUCCAAGGGCGAAGGCAGGAAGCUAACCAUUUUUUGACGCUGAGGAACGACAGCUAGGGGAGCGAAAGGG